AUUGAACGCUGGCGGCAGGCUUAACACAUGCAAGUCGAGCGGGGUGAUGGUGCUUGCACUAUCACUUAGCGGCGGACGGGUGAGUAAUGCUUAGGAAUCUGCCUAUUAGUGGGGGACAACAUCUCGAAAGGGAUGCUAAUACCGCAUACGUCCUACGGGAGAAAGCAGGGGAUCACUUGUGACCUUGCGCUAAUAGAUGAGCCUAAGUCGGAUUAGCUAGUUGGUGGGGUAAAGGCCUACCAAGGCGAGGAUCUGUAGCGGGUCUGAGAGGAUGAUCCGCCACACUGGGACUGAGACACGGCCCAGACUCCUACGGGAGGCAGCAGUGGGGAAUAUUGGGCAAUGGGGGGAACCCUGAUCCAGCCAUGCCGCGUGUGUGAAGAAGGCCUUAUGGCUGUAAAGCACUUUAAGCGAGGAGGAGGCUCUUUUGGUUAAUACCCAAGAUGAGUGGACGUUACUCGCAGAAUAAGCACCGGCUAACUCUGUGCCAGCAGCCGCCGUAA
RNAcentral lists this ribosomal RNA (503 nucleotides) under uncultured bacterium. RNAcentral describes it as "partial 16S ribosomal RNA". It matches the Rfam family "Bacterial small subunit ribosomal RNA", at positions 30 to 523 of the family's 1533-position model. The record is from RNAcentral.